UACGUAGGGUGCGAGCGUUAAUCGGAAUUACUGGGCGUAAAGCGUGCGCAGGCGGUUAUGCAAGACAAAUGUGAAAUCCCCGGGCUUAACCUGGGAACCGCAUUUGUGACUGCAUAGCUGGAGUACGGCAGAGGGGGAUGGAAUUCCGCGUGUAGCAGUGAAAUGCGUAGAUAUGCGGAGGAACACCGAUGGCGAAGGCAGUCCCCUGGGCCUGUACUGACGCUCAUGCACGAAAGCGUGGGGAGCAAACAGG
RNAcentral lists this ribosomal RNA (253 nucleotides) under uncultured bacterium. RNAcentral describes it as "partial 16S ribosomal RNA". It matches the Rfam family "Bacterial small subunit ribosomal RNA", at positions 524 to 776 of the family's 1533-position model. The record is from RNAcentral.